CCACUCCAGUGGCGUAAGUGGUUAGAGCGUUCGCCUCGGAUGCGGGAGGUCGUGGGAUCGAACCCCUGCCUAAUAGU
Molecule: non-coding RNA, 77 nt
Organism: Potamilus streckersoni
Lineage: Eukaryota; Metazoa; Mollusca; Bivalvia; Unionida; Unionidae
Source: the annotation of a GenBank genome assembly